RNAcentral lists this ribosomal RNA (428 nucleotides) under uncultured bacterium. RNAcentral describes it as "bacterial SSU rRNA". It matches the Rfam family "Bacterial small subunit ribosomal RNA", at positions 355 to 775 of the family's 1533-position model. The record is from RNAcentral.
UGGGGAAUAUUGGACAAUGGGCGAAAGCCUGAUCCAGCCAUGCCGCGUGAGUGAAGAAGGCCUUCGGGUUGUAAAGCUCUUUCGCAAGGGAAGAACACUUAGUCUCUAACAUAGACUGAGGUUGACGGUACCUUGAUAAGAAGCACCGGCUAACUACGUGCCAGCAGCCGCGGUAAUACGUAGGGUGCGAGCGUUAAUCGGAAUUACUGGGCGUAAAGCGUGCGCAGGCUGUUUUGUAAGUCAGAUGUGAAAUCCCCGAGCUCAACUUGGGAACUGCGUUUGAAACUACAAGACUAGAAUAUGUCAGAGGGGGGUAGAAUUCCACGUGUAGCAGUGAAAUGCGUAGAGAUGUGGAGGAAUACCAAUGGCGAAGGCAGCCCCCUGGGAUAAUAUUGACGCUCAUGCACGAAAGCGUGGGGAGCAAACAG